RNAcentral lists this long non-coding RNA (1387 nucleotides) under Vigna radiata. RNAcentral's name for it is "long non-coding RNA (VRAD_LNC006302)". Lineage: Eukaryota; Viridiplantae; Streptophyta; Magnoliopsida; Fabales; Fabaceae. The record is from RNAcentral.
UGUAUGAUGAAUGAUGUUCUUUAAAUGUUUUGGUUGUGAUGAAUAUGGAAAGGAAUUGAAUUUGAUUUUGUUGUACGUGUUUUUGGUCAAAAAUGAAAGGUUUCAUAGGUGAGCUUGUGAGUUAGGGGUUAGAAUGAUUAAAUAUAGUUUUAAAGGAUAAUUAGAAGUGAAUCAAGUCUUGUUAAAACUAUUAAUUAGAGGAAAUUUGAUCUAAGAAGAGUUAGUAAUGCUUUGAUGGUGUGUUGGUUGAUUUUAAGUUCAAAUUAUGGAGUUUUGAUUAGUGAAAUUGAGGAAUAGGUAUAGGGGUGAGAUAAUAACUGAUUUAGUACUGUUAGGAGGUUAAUUGGGACUUGUUAGAAGUGUUAGAGGAUUGAAAAUUGAUAUGUAGCAAUGAGAUGGUUCAUGGUUGGAAUUUUCAAGUGCUUUUUGGUAUAAAAAGGGGGUUUUGAGUAGUGAGAUUUUGAGGUAAGUGUUAUGAACUGUUUUAGGCAGUUUGAGAUAUGUUAUGAGGUCAAUUAAGACUUGCCUAGAGGUUUACAUCAGAAAAAUAUGUUAUGGAAGUGUUAAUUGCAUCAUAGUUUAAGUUUCCUACUUCGUGUUGGAGGAUUUAGGUGUUGGAAAUGGAAAGUGGAGUAGCUGGGGUGAAACUGAAGUAUUAAGGGGUGCUAACAAGUAUAUUUAGACUUGUUUAUGCAGUUUGUAAUAUAAUAUGGGGGUGGAAAGAGUAUAAUUGAAAUUGGGCAACUUUUAGGAGUGAAUUCGGAUUUUAAAGUGUCAAAAGUGGUUUGAUACUCCUAGUGUUGGAUCUAGUGAUCAAAUGGAUGUUUGUUUUAACUUACAAACGUGUUUUCCCAUCAAUACAAAUGUGUAAAGAACCCCUUUAGUCAUUAGAACAGGUUCCAAGUGCAUCAAAAGCCAAUUUUCAUGGUUACUAUCAACUGGUAUGGCACCCCAGCGCCCCUUGUCAAGCCCGAGCGCCCCUGGGUGCACCAACAUACUGUUGUGUUUGUUUUUUAUAGUUUUUGGGGUUCCAGAUGUCUGUUUUGGAUGUUCUUUAUGUCAUUUUGGGGGGUUUUAGACCCUUCUGGAACUGUUGGUGAUGGUUUCAAAGCCAUUUUCUUUGUCUAAGUAUGCAUUUACGGGGUUUUGUGUUGUUUAGUGGUUCUUCUAGGACUAUUAUUGUUUGUUAAUGUAUAUGGAAUGAUUUCAUGGGAUUUUUGAUGACUUGUUGGGCUGUUUGUGGUAUUUUGAAGUAUAAUUAAUAUUAUAUAUAUCUUUUUAUUAUUAGAAUGGUGUAGAAGUAUCUAUGAUAUUGUAUGAUCAUGUAUUGUAGUAUAUGGUUGUUCAUGUCUUGAAUUAAGUUUUAAAGUGAAAGUAUGAACUGGAC